Molecule: ribosomal RNA, 1359 nt
Filed under: uncultured bacterium
Lineage: Bacteria
Description: bacterial SSU rRNA
Rfam family: Bacterial small subunit ribosomal RNA
Source: RNAcentral
AUUGAACGCUGGUGGCAUGCCUUACACAUGCAAGUCGAACGGCAGCACGGACUUCGGUCUGGUGGCGAGUGGCGAACGGGUGAGUAAUGUAUCGGAACGUACCUUUCAGUGGGGGAUAACGUAGCGAAAGUUACGCUAAUACCGCAUAUUCUGUGAGCAGGAAAGCAGGGGAUCGCAAGACCUUGCGCUGAUUGAGCGGCCGAUAUCAGAUUAGCUAGUUGGUGGGGUAAAGGCCUACCAAGGCUACGAUCUGUAGCGGGUCUGAGAGGAUGAUCCGCCACACUGGAACUGAGACACGGUCCAGACUCCUACGGGAGGCAGCAGUGGGGAAUUUUGGACAAUGGGGGCAACCCUGAUCCAGCCAUGCCGCGUGAGUGAAGAAGGCCUUCGGGUUGUAAAGCUCUUUCGGCCGGGAAGAAAUCGCAUCAGCUAAUACCUGGUGUGGAUGACGGUACCGGAAUAAGAAGCACCGGCUAACUACGUGCCAGCAGCCGCGGUAAUACGUAGGGUGCGAGCGUUAAUCGGAAUUACUGGGCGUAAAGCGUGCGCAGGCGGUUGUGUAAGACAGGCGUGAAAUCCCCGGGCUCAACCUGGGAACUGCGCUUGUGACUGCACAGCUAGAGUACGGCAGAGGGGGGUGGAAUUCCACGUGUAGCAGUGAAAUGCGUAGAGAUGUGGAGGAACACCGAUGGCGAAGGCAGCCCCCUGGGCCGAUACUGACGCUCAUGCACAAAAGCGUGGGUAGCAAACAGGAUUAGAUACCCUGGUAGUCCACGCCCUAAACGAUGUCAACUAGGUGUUGGGUGGGUAAAACCAUUUAGUACCGUAGCUAACGCGUGAAGUUGACCGCCUGGGGAGUACGGCCGCAAGGUUAAAACUCAAAGGAAUUGACGGGGACCCGCACAAGCGGUGGAUGAUGUGGAUUAAUUCGAUGCAACGCGAAAAACCUUACCUACCCUUGACAUGUCCAGAAGCCCGAAGAGAUUUGGGUGUGCCCGAAAGGGAACUGGAACACAGGUGCUGCAUGGCUGUCGUCAGCUCGUGUCGUGAGAUGUUGGGUUAAGUCCCGCAACGAGCGCAACCCUUGUCGUUAAUUGCCAUCAUUUAGUUGGGCACUUUAACGAGACUGCCGGUGACAAACCGGAGGAAGGUGGGGAUGACGUCAAGUCCUCAUGGCCCUUAUGGGUAGGGCUUCACACGUCAUACAAUGGUCGGUACAGAGGGUUGCCAAGCCGCGAGGUGGAGCCAAUCCCAGAAAGCCGAUCGUAGUCCGGAUUGCAGGCUGCAACUCGCCUGCAUGAAGUCGGAAUCGCUAGUAAUCGCGGAUCAGCAUGUCGCGGUGAAUACGUUCCCGGGUCU